GUCAACUUGCUGAGUCGUCCAGGCCUUCAUCUUUCUUCUGUGCUGGAUGCUUCCCUGCUCUUGAACAUCAAGACUUCAGGUUUUGGGACUCAGACUGAGCCACUGCUGGCUUCCUUGCUCCUCAGCUUGCAGAUGCCUAUUGUGGGACUUCACCUUACAGUCAUACCCGAUGUGAAGCCUGACUGAGCAGAGUGGAGACCAGCAGCUGCACGUCAAGUGGCCUUCCCAGGACUUGACUCCAUAUGCAUGUUCUCGUCCAUGGGCUCAUACCCAGUCCAAAGGACUUUACCCCAGCUCCAUCUUUGCCCAGACACACUUGAGGCUGCAGGGUUUUGGUGACUGUAAAUUGGUCUUGACCCUCUGAGGAAAUGGGGAUGCUGCAGAAGACACUGGCUAAAUUGAUAAAAUGAGAUUUGUAACCACCCUGGGACAGAGCUCCCAGAGGGAGAGACGGGCCACUAUCUUUGCCAUUUAGAUGACUUAGCUGUUCCAGCCUUCAGGCCUCAGAGUAUCUGAGGAACCAGGGGCUGACAUGGACCCCCAGCACAGCACAGCUGCUCUACCAAAACAUGGCCAGACUGUUUCUUUAAGCAGGUCCCUGAUCCCAUUCCUCCUCACUGGGCAGGACCUCCCAAAUGGGGUCUUCAGCCACCUCCUACAGGUGCCUUUGCAUUGGCAACAAGCCUGUACCAUCCUGGGAUGAAGCUUCAGGGAGGGACUGCUGCUAUUUUUGCUGUUUCACAGUCUUCACUGGUGAUACCUCCAGGUACUGGACUAUCUGAGGCAACUAAGGACUGGAGCAGGCCCCCAGAAUACCACAGCAGCCCUACAGAAAAGAGGACAGACUGUUACAUUGGUGCCCAUUCCCAUGUCUCCUCAUCAGGCAGAUUCUCCAAGCCUAGGCCUCCAGCCACCCCCUGCCAGAGCUAUGAAGCCAGUAGCAACUCAGCAACUCCAUGAACAGAGCCUCCAGCGCCAUCUGAAAGCCCCUCUGCCACUGCCUCUGCAGUGGAACUGUCCUUGCCACCCUCAGACUAACAAAGGAGCAAAGGCCCUAAGCGCUUUAUUCACACCUCCAACAAGCUGCAGUCAACCCAAGGAGAGGAGAUCAGUCUGUUUCCCAUGGGUCCCAUACUCCCUCUCCCACUGCUCAUCACCAGGCAGGGAACCCCUGGCAUGGACCCACGGCACAGAUGCUCCACCUUGAGCUGACUGCACUGAGUGGCUGCUGACCUUCAUCUCUCUGGAAUGGAGCCCCCAGGAGACAAGCAAACAACCCUUGGCCACAACCACUAAUAAGAUCCCUUCCUCUGCUGCUUCCAACUUGAGGAAGGAACAUAAACACUGAGAUCACCCCAGAGCUGCAGUGGGCAGCCCAGGAGUCCCAAGUCAUAAUCACAGCCAGCACUCAAGAGGGAGAGGAACCCACACUUUCAGAGCAUUGUGAGAAAACACAGCUGCAACUGUGAGGAAACAUAGGGGAGCCAUACAACUGACCAAUAAGCCUAAGUGCCACCUGCUGGAUCACACCCCAAAGCGUCAACAUAAAUAAUACCUUACUAACAUAUCCGGCCUCUGAAACCAGAGACAAGAAGUCAGUUUCAAAUAAAGACCCCACACAAAGCCUCAGCCCAGGGAAAACAUCCAGAAAAGAAGUCUAUUGACUGUACUUAAUCUACACUGUGGUUAAAGAAACACUCACACACAGAGAUGAGAAAGAAGCAAUGCAAGAACUCCAGUAACUCAAAUGGCCAGAGGGUCAUAUGUCCUCCAAACGACCACACUAGUUCUGCAACAAGAGUUAUGAACCAUGCUGAACUAGCUGAAAUGACAGAAGUAGAAUUCAGAAUACAGAUAGAAACAAAGAUCACUGAAAUUCAGGAGGAUGGCAAAACCCAAUCCAAGGAAAACAAGAGUCACAAUAAAGUGAUACAAGAACCAAAGGACAAAAUAGCUGGUAUAAAAAAGAACCUAACAGGUCUGGCAGAGCUGAAUAACACAACACAAGAAUUUCACAAUGCAAUCACAAGUAUUAACAGUAGAAUAAACCAAGCUGAGGAAAGAAUCUCAGAACUUGAAGACUGG
RNAcentral lists this long non-coding RNA (2085 nucleotides) under Homo sapiens (human). RNAcentral's name for it is "uncharacterized LOC105372424, transcript variant 2 (LOC105372424)". The record is from RNAcentral. Lineage: Eukaryota; Metazoa; Chordata; Mammalia; Primates; Hominidae.